This is a long non-coding RNA of Calypte anna (Anna's hummingbird), 1399 nucleotides long. RefSeq lists it as uncharacterized. The record is from RefSeq and is a predicted model, not a curated record. NCBI's taxonomy places the organism in Eukaryota, Metazoa, Chordata, Aves, Apodiformes, Trochilidae. The transcript is spliced from 3 exons.
CACCUACUGCCGCUGAAGUUUUAAGGAUCCCUCCCGUGGCAAUUAGAUUAAACAGCACUUCUGAGCCCCAGCAAAGAAAAGCAAACUGCACAACACGCCGGUCGGAGGCACGGCCCGCAGACACUACCAACAAGAGAUUAAAAAAUUCACCUGAAUCUUUAAAGUACUCGUUGCUGUUGCUGCCUUGCCUCUGGGAUGUGGCUUGGUCCCAGUUCACAGGCUGACUCCGGAGCAUCACAGCCUCAUCAUGGACGAAAUCUAACUUGAUCUACUGGGGUGGCUGCAGAGGGUGCUGUUAACCUGCGCACACCAGCACAAAACCAGGACUCCACUGAGCAGGACAGACCCAAGAAUUUUCCUCAGGAUGACAGUUCCAGCUCUGCACAGACCUGGCUGCUACAACCCACCUGAAAACUCUAACUGAACAUGCCAGAGAAAGGCCAGGUCCUGCUGGCACAUCCCAUCUAGCUGUCCUGAGUUGGUACUUUGGAAAAAACAUCCCCUGUUUUCCUGUUAGUGGUAGCAGGACCUUGCUACUCCCUGCCUGGUCUUGACAUGCUCUGGGAUGGGGACGGGGAUGUGGGUGGCAGGUGAGAGGGGGGGAAGGCAGAAGGUGGAAAGCUUGUGUUUCCAGCCUCAGCACCCUUCAGGCAGGCUAUGUGGUACUCAGUCCACCCAGCCCUGCCCUCAAACCACAGGAGUUUUGAUUGUAAAAAGGCAGAACAGAAAGACUGGAGGGUGAAAAAUGUUCCCAGUGAGGAACUUAGAGGAAACAUCAGAAGACAGUUCCCAAAUUAUCCCAAGAUCAUCCCACCCUAUCUACUAUUGCUGCUCAGUGGAAAAAACAGUGAAAACCACAUCAGAAACAAGUCCAGAACUGCUGUGAAUGAAGGCAAACAGAAACUCACACCUUGUUUUACUGUCCCAUAGCUGCUGCACAGGGCUUUUAGUCUCUGUGACCUGGUCCUCAAAACUUCACCUGUAGGAACCUCCUCUGGAUGUGUUUUGGCUUUGUUCCUAUCACUCCUCAGAUGUCCCAGCUCCAUCAGCAGAGCUGUUCCCCCACCGAGGCCCCAAAAAGCCUGGAGGGAAACAACUGCAGCAGGUAGUGCUAUGGCUGCUUGCUGCAAGACCCCAAGUCCCCUGGGGCCACUUUUAGCAAAGCUAAUGCAUUAACUGCAGUUAGGAGCACUAAAGACCUGCAGCUGGGAUCCCUACCUGUGUUGUCUCCUUUCCUUUUCCUUGGAUGUGUUUUUACAUUUUAGUAAACUUCAGAGUUUCUUGAUGCAUCUUCAGAGAUCCAUAAGAAGCAUCACCCUAGUUUCUAUCCCUUCAUUCCCCCAUAGGACAGCAGCAGUGAUUCCUGAAAUAAAAAUAACACCUGUGUGUUUCUACCCAA